GGUUCCUUGGUGUAGUGAUAACAUACCUCCCUGUCACGGAGGGGUUGCGGGUUUGAUUCCCGUAGGAACCG
This is a transfer RNA of 71 nucleotides. It matches the Rfam family "tRNA". Rfam says of the family: Transfer RNA (tRNA) molecules are approximately 80 nucleotides in length. Their secondary structure includes four short double-helical elements and three loops (D, anti-codon, and T loops). The record is from Rfam.